This 369-nucleotide transfer-messenger RNA is filed under the name Glutamicibacter soli. RNAcentral describes it as "Standard tmRNA". It matches the Rfam family "transfer-messenger RNA". Rfam says of the family: Bacterial tmRNA, also known as 10Sa RNA or SsrA, is named for its dual tRNA and mRNA-like properties. Its role is to liberate the mRNA from a stalled ribosome. The record is from RNAcentral. RNAcentral also lists the same sequence under 1 other name. Lineage: Bacteria; Bacillati; Actinomycetota; Actinomycetes; Micrococcales; Micrococcaceae.
GGGGAUGAUCGGUUUCGACGGUGUAAGUCGCGACAGAUGAAGCGGGCCGAGGACGCAAAGUUAUCUCGUAAACGCUCUUUGCAAAACAAUAAGUGCCGAAUCUAAGCGCACUGACUUCGCUCUCGCUGCCUAAGCAGCCAGACAGUCCGUUAGCCAGGGGAUGCUAUCGCCCCUGUUCCUAACGUCAUUUAGAUAGCCACUGUAUCCGGCAGUUGUUGCCGCUGUUGGGUACAUAUCUCGGCAACUGUGCCCGGACCAGCCACUUGUUUGCGUGAUGGCUGGGGCAGAGAAAUUCCGCAGCAAACUGCGCCCGGAGAAGACCUGGCAACACUACAUCGGACGGGAGUUCAAUUCUCCCCAUCUCCACCA